GACGAACGCUGGCGGCGUGCUUAACACAUGCAAGUCGAACGCUGAAGCUUGGUGCUUGCACUGGGUGGAUGAGUGGCGAACGGGUGAGUAAUACGUGAGUAACCUGCCCUUGACUCUGGGAUAAGCUUGGGAAACUGGGUCUAAUACUGGAUACGACAUGUCACCGCAUGGUGGUGUGUGGAAAGGGGUUUAGUGGUUUUGGAUGGGCUCACGGCCUAUCAGCUUGUUGGGGGGGUAAUGGCUCACCAAGGCGACGACGGGUAGCCGGCCUGAGAGGGUGACCGGCCACACUGGGACUGAGACACGGCCCAGACUCCUACGGGAGGCAGCAGUGGAGAAUAUUGCACAAUGGGCGGAAGCCAGAUGCGGCGGCGCCGCGUGAGGGAUGACGGCCUUCGGGUUGUAAACCUCUUUCAGCACGGAAGAAGCGAUAGUGACGGUACGUGCAGAAGAAGCGCCGGCUAACUACGUG
RNAcentral lists this ribosomal RNA (472 nucleotides) under uncultured bacterium. RNAcentral describes it as "partial 16S ribosomal RNA". It matches the Rfam family "Bacterial small subunit ribosomal RNA", at positions 28 to 507 of the family's 1533-position model. The record is from RNAcentral.